RNAcentral lists this ribosomal RNA (471 nucleotides) under uncultured bacterium. RNAcentral describes it as "bacterial SSU rRNA". It matches the Rfam family "Bacterial small subunit ribosomal RNA", at positions 1 to 524 of the family's 1533-position model. The record is from RNAcentral.
UAGAGUUUGAUUAUGGCUCAGGAUGAACGCUGGCGGUAUGCUUAACACAUGCAAGUCGAACGCACCUUUCGGGGUGAGUGGCAGACGGGUGAGUAACGCGUGGGAACCUUCCCUGUGGUACGGAAUAACUCCGGGAAACCGGUGCUAAUACCGUAUACGCCCUUCGGGGGAAAGAUUUAUCGCCAUAGGAUGGGCCCGCGUCGGAUUAGCUAGUUGGUGAGGUAAUGGCUCACCAAGGCUUCGAUCCGUAGCUGGUCUGAGAGGAUGAUCAGCCACACUGGGACUAAGACACGGCCCAGACUCCUACGGGAGGCAGCAGUAGGGAAUAUUGGACAAUGGGCGAAAGCCUGAUCCAGCCAUGCCGCGUGAGUGAAGAAGGCCUUAGGGUUGUAAAGCUCUUUUGGCGGGGAAGAUAAUGACGGUACCCGCAGAAUAAGCUCCGGCUAACUCCGUGCCAGCAGCCGCGGUAAU